AAGUCGUAACAAGGUUUCCGUAGGUGAACCUGCGGAAGGAUCAUUCAUAAUAAGUGUUUUAUGGCACUUUUUAAAUCCAUAUCCACCUUGUGUGCAAUGUCAGUUGAUCUUCUUUAUGGAGAUCAACCAAACAUCAACCUAAUUUUUAACUCUUUGUCUGAAAAAUAUUAUGAAUAAAAUAAUUCAAAAUACAACUUUCAACAACGGAUCUCUUGGCUCUCGCAUCGAUGAAGAACGCAGCGAAAUGCGAUACGUAAUGUGAAUUGCAGAAUUCAGUGAAUCAUCGAAUCUUUGAACGCACAUUGCGCUCUCUGGUAUUCCGGAGAGCAUGCUUGUUUGAGUAUCAGUAAAACACCCUCAGCUCCCCUCUUUUCUCUGUCGAGAAAAAAAGGAGUUGGACUUGAGUGAUCCCGACGGCAGUGAUUUCUCUUAGAGAAUGAACUGCUGGCGGGUCGCUUGAAAUGCAGGUGCGGCUGGACACAUCUUCUGAGCUAUAAGCAUUACUUAUUUAGUCCCGUCAAACGGAUUAUUUCUAUUGCUGCAGCUAACAUAAAGGUCGAUUGUCCUUGUGCCCGUCUGAUGCAGGAAAACAAAGGAAAAGGGGGUUUUUUUUCCCUCUCUCCUCUGUUCAACUCGAUCUCAAAUCAAGCAAGACUACCCGCUGAACUUAA
Molecule: ribosomal RNA, 671 nt
Filed under: uncultured fungus
Lineage: Eukaryota; Fungi
Description: eukaryotic LSU rRNA
Rfam family: 5.8S ribosomal RNA (bases 193-346)
Source: RNAcentral